Non-coding RNA from Xyrichtys novacula (pearly razorfish), 142 nucleotides. NCBI's taxonomy places the organism in Eukaryota, Metazoa, Chordata, Actinopteri, Labriformes, Labridae. The record is from the annotation of a GenBank genome assembly.
GGCCUGGAAGACGACAGCAAGAAGACGAGCAAAUAAGUAAGUGAAAUGGUUAUUGUUUAAUUUUGCCUCGUAAACCUUUCGAUGUGUCAUUUGGUUAGGCCACUUACUUCUUUCUCGUCUUCUUGCCGUCUUCUUCUGUGCC